GUUGAACUUUGGUCCUUGAGCUUACUUGGCCAGCACUCCUAUCACUGAGCCACACCUCCAGCCCUCAUUUUUCUCUGCUUAUUUUUAACAGACGUUCUCUUCCUUGCUAUGGCAUGUGCCUGGGCAUGAUCUACCUGUUAGCUUUCUUUCCCAUGUAGAUAGGCUAAUAAUAAGCAUGUGCUAUCACGGUAGUCCAGUCCUUCCUUCAGGAAUCUUCUGAUCCAGGGUAGCCUCAAGAUUCUGUCCAUCUAGUCUCAGUCUCCCAGGUAGCUAGGAUUAUAGACAUCAGUCACUGGUGUCCAGUUUUAACUCACAAAAUUUUUAAUGUUUCCCCAUCUCAUUUUAAGGUUUAGUGCUAUUCAUUGUUCACUUUCUAGGGUCAGACUUUGUAGGUUCAGAACUGGGUUCUAAUACUAGAUUGUGUGUGCACAGAUUAACUUUUCUAAUCUAUACAAAGAGAAUAAUAUCUACUUUGGUUCAGUUAUUAGAUAUCCGAAGUGCUUAUUCUUUAGAAAUUCCAAAACAUCAGAAUAUGUUUAUUUUUCUCAACAAGUUUUAAAAGCUUGUAGCCAUUAAGUUAUCACCUACAGAUCAUUUGAACUUUUAUCUGUUUUAUUUCUGACUUCAACCAUGUUUCUAACUUGAUUGUAAGUACCCAUGGAGGAAACUAAUGGGAAACUGUAGUCAGCACUAUCAUUUUCUUUUUACUGUUAAUAGCUUCCUUUUCUG
Molecule: long non-coding RNA, 729 nt
Organism: Perognathus longimembris pacificus (Pacific pocket mouse)
Lineage: Eukaryota; Metazoa; Chordata; Mammalia; Rodentia; Heteromyidae
Exons: 3
Source: RefSeq, a predicted model, not a curated record